UACGGAGGAUCCGAGCGUUAUCCGGAUUUAUUGGGUUUAAAGGGUGCGCAGGCGGGAAAUUAAGUCGGCGGUGAAAUUUUGCAGCUCAACUGUAAAAGUGCCUUCGAUACUGGUUUCCUUGAGUGUGGAUGAAGUAGGCGGAAUUUGUGGUGUAGCGGUGAAAUGCAUAGAUAUCACGAGGAACUCCGAUUGCGCAGGCAGCUUACUAAACUACUACUGACGCUCAGGCACGAAGGAGUGGGGAUCAAACAGGAUUAGAUACCCGGGUAGUCCCU
This 275-nucleotide ribosomal RNA is filed under the name uncultured prokaryote. Its description in RNAcentral is "partial 16S ribosomal RNA". It matches the Rfam family "Bacterial small subunit ribosomal RNA", at positions 524 to 798 of the family's 1533-position model. The record is from RNAcentral.